GAUGAACGCUGGCGGCGUGCCUAAUACAUGCAAGUCGAGCGAACGGACGAGAAGCUUGCUUCUCUGAUGUUAGCGGCGGACGGGUGAGUAACACGUGGAUAACCUACCUAUAAGACUGGGAUAACUUCGGGAAACCGGAGCUAAUACCGGAUAAUAUUUUGAACCGCAUGGUUCAAAAGUGAAAGACGGUCUUGCUGUCACUUAUAGAUGGAUCCGCGCUGCAUUAGCCAGUUGGUAAGGUAACGGCUUACCAAGGCAACGAUGCAUAGCCGACCUGAGAGGGUGAUCGGCCACACUGGAACUGAGACACGGUCCAGACUCCUACGGGAGGCAGCAGUAGGGAAUCUUCCGCAAUGGGCGAAAGCCUGACGGAGCAACGCCGCGUGAGUGAUGAAGGUCUUCGGAUCGUAAAACUCUGUUAUUAGGGAAGAACAUAUGUGUAAGUAACUGUACACAUCUUGACGGUACCUAAUCAGAAAGCCACGGCUAACUACGUG
RNAcentral lists this ribosomal RNA (497 nucleotides) under uncultured bacterium. Its description in RNAcentral is "partial 16S ribosomal RNA". It matches the Rfam family "Bacterial small subunit ribosomal RNA", at positions 28 to 507 of the family's 1533-position model. The record is from RNAcentral.